GACGAACGCUGGCGGCGUGCUUAACACAUGCAAGUCGAACGAAGAGCGACGGAAGCUUGCUUCUAUCAAUCUUAGUGGCGCACGGGUGAGUAACGCGUAAUCAACCUGCCCUUCAGAGGGGGACAACAGUUGGAAACGACUGCUAAUACCGCAUACGAUCUAACCUCGGCAUCGAGGAUAGAUGAAAGGUGGCCUCUACAUGUAAGCUAUCACUGAAGGAGGGGACUGCGUCUGAUUAGCUAGUUGGAGGGGUAACGGCCCACCAAGGCGAGGAUCAGUAGCCGGUCUGAGGGGAUGAACGGCCACAUUGGGACUGAGACACGGCCCAGACUCCUACGGGAGGCAGCAGUGGGGAAUCUUCCGCAAUGGACGAAAGUCUGACGGAGCAACGCCGCGUGAGUGAUGACGGCCUUCGGGUUGUAAAGACCUGUUAAUCGGGACGAAAGGCCUUCUUGCGAAUAGUGAGAAGGAUUGACGGUACCGGAAGAGAAAGCCACGGCUAACUACGUG
RNAcentral lists this ribosomal RNA (510 nucleotides) under uncultured bacterium. RNAcentral's name for it is "partial 16S ribosomal RNA". It matches the Rfam family "Bacterial small subunit ribosomal RNA", at positions 28 to 507 of the family's 1533-position model. The record is from RNAcentral.